Long non-coding RNA from Ornithodoros turicata, 200 nucleotides. RefSeq lists it as uncharacterized. The transcript has 3 exons. The record is from RefSeq and is a predicted model, not a curated record. Lineage: Eukaryota; Metazoa; Arthropoda; Arachnida; Ixodida; Argasidae.
CAAAGAUGGUCCGGCGGUUGAAACACAUGCUACAGGAAGUGCAACUGCAACAGAGUCAAAGGAAUCCAUAAACUAGUGGCAAAAUUGUGGUCAAGCCAUCUCCACCGUCUUGCUGGGUGCAGACCUUGCUAUCUUACACUGUCACUUGGGCCAGAAAAUGAUGUUGACUUGGGCGGAGGAGUCCUUGUGCCGCAGGCGAC